RNAcentral lists this transfer RNA (74 nucleotides) under Spirochaetota bacterium. RNAcentral's name for it is "Spirochaetes bacterium (freshwater sediment metagenome) tRNA-Arg". It matches the Rfam family "tRNA". Rfam says of the family: Transfer RNA (tRNA) molecules are approximately 80 nucleotides in length. Their secondary structure includes four short double-helical elements and three loops (D, anti-codon, and T loops). Lineage: Bacteria; Pseudomonadati; Spirochaetota. The record is from RNAcentral.
GCGCCCGUAGCUCAGCUGGAUAGAGCGUCUGACUUCGAAUCAGCAGGUCGGGGGUUCGAAUCCCUCCGGGCGUA